This 500-nucleotide ribosomal RNA is filed under the name uncultured bacterium. Its description in RNAcentral is "partial 16S ribosomal RNA". It matches the Rfam family "Bacterial small subunit ribosomal RNA", at positions 30 to 523 of the family's 1533-position model. The record is from RNAcentral.
AUUGAACGCUGGCGGAAUGCUUUACACAUGCAAGUCGAACGGCAGCACGGACUUCGGUCUGGUGGCGAGUGGCAAACGGGUGAGCAAUGUAUCGGAACGUGCCCAGUCGUGGGGGAUAACGUAGUGAAAAUUACGCUAAUACCGCAUACGAUCUAUGGAUGAAAGCGGGGGAUCGCAAGAACUCGCGCGAUUGGAGCGGCCGAUAGCAGAUUAGGUAGUUGGUGGGGUAAAGGCCCACCAAGCCAACGAUCUGUAGCUGGUCUGAGAGGACGACCAGCCACACUGGAACUGAGACACGGUCCAGACUCCUACGGGAGGCAGCAGUGGGGAAUUUUGGACAAUGGGCGAAAGCCUGAUCCAGCCAUUCCGCGUGCAGGAUGAAGGCCCUCGGGUUGUAAACUGCUUUUGUACAGAACGAAAAGGUUUCUACUAAUACUAGGAGCUCAUGACGGUACUGUAAGAAUAAGCACCGGCUAACUACGUGCCAGCCGCCGCAGUAA